Non-coding RNA from Canis lupus familiaris (dog), 105 nucleotides. Lineage: Eukaryota; Metazoa; Chordata; Mammalia; Carnivora; Canidae. The record is from Rfam.
AGGAGGAACAACCCCAGUGGCGGGGCCAGCUCUGGAAACCUGGAUUCAGCCCCCGCAGGAACUCCGGAGCUCUCCGUCUGCAGGGCCUGGAGGCUCCGGGGCGGG